UUUCCAUCCCUGAAUAAAAAUUAAAAUUCCAACAAUACAUGUAGAGAAGAUUAGCACGGCCUCAAGGAUGAUACGGAAGUUUGAGAAGCGUUCCAAAAUUGU
Molecule: small nuclear RNA, 102 nt
Filed under: Nippostrongylus brasiliensis
Lineage: Eukaryota; Metazoa; Nematoda; Chromadorea; Rhabditida; Heligmosomidae
Source: RNAcentral